Molecule: unclassified non-coding RNA, 276 nt
Filed under: Hevea brasiliensis (rubber tree)
Lineage: Eukaryota; Viridiplantae; Streptophyta; Magnoliopsida; Malpighiales; Euphorbiaceae
Source: RNAcentral
AUCAAUGGUAGGUUUCAUAUUGAAAUUGAAUUGUAUAAUGAAGAACUACUUAAUUUGCAUUCUAAAGCGUUGGAGCAAUAGACAGAUUGAGCCGAUUCAAACUACAAUCCAUGGAAAGUAGAUGAUCUUCGCCUAGUUGUUCAAUGAUCAAAGGUAAAUGGCCAUUGUUUGAAGCAAAUCCUUCAAAGCCAGAGAAUUUGAUCGAACUCAUGCUGUCAUUAUUUUAUUGCACCAAAUCUUGAAGACAAAGCCUUGGCCAAUUAUGUGACCCUCCUA